CCCUCAAACCGAGUUGUUUGCAAAUUUUCCCUUUUGCUUAUGUCUAAGUAGGGAGCAUUAUUGAAUAAACUUGGUUUUGGAAUCUAAAGUUGGGGAGAGUAAAGUAAAAAGAUGUGAUUAGAAACUUGGAAAAGUGAGUUUUUAUGAAAGUGUGAAAAUAUGAAAAGAAAUAAGAAAAAGAAACCCUUGAAACCAUAGAGCAAAGAAAAAGAAAAGAAAGAAAAAAGCAAAGAAAAUGCUCAUGGUUGUGUGGAUGUGAAAAGAAAAAUAAAAAGAAAAAGAUAGGGAUCAAAG
Molecule: long non-coding RNA, 294 nt
Filed under: Lathyrus oleraceus (garden pea)
Lineage: Eukaryota; Viridiplantae; Streptophyta; Magnoliopsida; Fabales; Fabaceae
Description: Pisum sativum (pea) long non-coding RNA (PSAT_LNC006371)
Source: RNAcentral